Molecule: long non-coding RNA, 1755 nt
Filed under: Apteryx owenii (little spotted kiwi)
Lineage: Eukaryota; Metazoa; Chordata; Aves; Apterygiformes; Apterygidae
Description: lncRNA (ENSAOWG00000014078.1)
Source: RNAcentral
AUGUCUCAUUGUAAAGUAGAUUUUUUUGCACCAUUCUUGUUCUUCCCUUUAACCGUAUCGCUUUUUAACACCUUUUCUAAAACUGUGGACAUCAGAACUGGGUGCAGAAUUUCUGUAAUGACCUUACUAAUGCCAUAUGUAGAAGAAAAACUGCCUUUCCUUGGUUCCUGUUCCUUUCUUUGUGCUCCCGGGGAUCACAUUCUCUCUCCGAGCUACAAAAUCACUCUGAGCUCACCUUCAGGUGGUUCCCUGUCAUUGCCCCCAAGUCUGCUGCAGCCUCACAGCAAUUUCAGAUGCUGUCUCCGGUCUUGUCAAGGUGACCGACGUUCUCCGGAGCUGGAUGUACGACCUGGCGCUGACUCCAUUAAAAGAUUCCUCAUAAGGAGAAUGAACUGUGAUAGGUCCAGAAAGCUGUCUCUGUGACUCCACUGGAAACAUCUCCCUGGAACAGCAAUUCCUCAGGUAUCUUAACUGCUUGGUUUCUACAGAAAGUUUAAGCUAUGCCCAUGUACAGCGCACCUGCUGCUUUGCUGAAUAUGUCAAGCGUGUCUGUGCAGACUACACCUGCUGCGCUGGCCUAACGGGAACAGGAUACCGCUGACUCUUCUGAUCCACUCCAGCUUUUCUUGGCUUGCCUCCGAGAAAAACAUCUUUAAGGGGUAGAUGUGUUAGAAAAAAAUCUGACCAAAAGGUCAGUGGCACCUCCCGACUAAAAAGUGAUACGCUUGCUCAGACCUGACGCUUCAGAAAUGUGGGCUGACAUGGUUGUAAGGUUUGUCUAGGUUUUACAUUAUUACUCAAAUUGUCCACUUGUGGAAGCAGCAAGAACAGUUCUGGGAAUGAUGUGGUCCAGCCUGAAUUAAAUAUGAAACACCUAAAGGUUUAUUGUUCGGCAGGUCCUCGUACUCUCAGAGAUACCUUACUGCAUCUGGAUUGAGCGCAUGCAGGAGCUACUGCUUUCUGAUAACUGACAUUCAACAUUAUUACUAUUAUUUGUCACUCUUUUAGUCAUAAAACAGGUUACUGGGAGUUUGCAGAAAAGAGAUGUACCGCACCCAAAAGAGAUGCACUUGGGACACUUAAAAUGAAAUCAGCAGUCCAUUACGUGAUUGCCUUUUCCUGGCUAAGAAUACCAAGCAGAACCUCUGCUAUAAAAUUAAGCAUGUCGUAACUUGCUCUGUAGCCUUUGACCACCUCAGAAAUCAUGAAAAGCAAGUGAAGCAUUUCAGCAUGUCUGGAAGGUCUGGAUAAUAUGGGACACAGAUUAGGAAGCUUAUGACUGAUUAGUCGCUCAGCAUGGUUUGCAUACCUCAACAUACUUUGUUCCAAGAGAAGCAUGUGCCUUGUCAUCAGUGCUGCCACAGCAAAUUUUUAAGGAUUGAUGAAGCAAAGAUAGAGGACGGCAUGUUGAUUUAGGAAAGGUGGGAAGGUAAUUUAGUUGUCAGGACAAAUAAGGGAGGGGUGGGUUUUUGCAGCAUUAUAUGGAGUAGGGGAGAAAAGGGAAGUCAAACAUGAUCUUCAGUUUAAUCAGCCAGAAUGCAAGAAAAAAAAUGGUGUUAUUAAGUGUACUAGUUAAGAGAGGUAAUAGAAAGAGUUUAGAAGAAAGUGAGUCCUCUGGGAAGCUUGAUCUGAAUUCUACUGUUUCUGAAGGGCCCCAGUGGAAAUUCAAAUGAACUUGUAAACAACUGCAGAUGAGCGAAAGGUGAAAAUGAAUGAUAGAAUAAAUACAGCCCUGACUGAAAUGAGACCUGCCCA